CCACCUCCUAGUACCAUCACACUAGGAUUCGGGUUUUAUCAUACUAAUUUUAUGGGGACGCAUUCAGUCCAUUGCAGCCAUCAAGAUUCCUGGCCCCUGGUAAACACAGGCCUUCUCUCAGUUAUUCAGUCAAACACUAAUCCAGGUGCUGCUGUGAAGGGAUUUUGCAGAUGUCACUAAAUUCCCAAAUCAGUCAACUUUAAAACAGGGAGAUUAUCCAGCCUGGCCAAAUCUAGACGGAAACCAGCUCCCAUGGGGGUAUGGGAGAUGAUGUCUCCAGGGCUCACCCUUCCAGGGCAUGGAGGAGGAGAGAGAAGGAUGGAGAACGGAUGGGGAGUGGAAGUGCAAAAAA
This 352-nucleotide long non-coding RNA is filed under the name Homo sapiens (human). RNAcentral describes it as "HSALNT0087784". Lineage: Eukaryota; Metazoa; Chordata; Mammalia; Primates; Hominidae. The record is from RNAcentral.